CUCCGCAGGACGCGGUGACGUGCGGGACGCUCGCCUGCAGUGGCGGCGGCGAGCGAGCGAGAGCGUGGAGACAUCAAUCCCACCCUGGUGUCAUGGUGACCCCGCCUGGUUGCUGAGCACAGGCCCAGAACGUGAAGCAGCCAGCAACAAACAGCACCGUUGGACGCCGGGGGGAAUUCCCAUAGUGGAGCAGUGCGUGGGAAGAAGCUGGAAGAGAAGUGUUGUGACCUUCAGUGUGCUGGUGCACUGAGCGGGGGUUGGCGCGGCCCCCCACGUCCAGCCUCUGUGCGGCAUCCAUCGACCAAGGUCAGUGGCCGCCUCCCCUGCACCGCCUCGGCAGCGGUCCAGGCGCUCCAUUAAAGUGCACUCACAAGUGAACAUCUCCACUGCGUAUCUGUGUGCGCGUGUGUGUCUGCGUGUGUUUAUGUGUGACUGUGAGUGUGUAUCUAUAUGUGUGUAAUGUGAGCGUAAACGGGCUCGCGGGAUGUGACGUAACAGGUGGGAGG
Molecule: long non-coding RNA, 506 nt
Organism: Lethenteron reissneri (Far Eastern brook lamprey)
Lineage: Eukaryota; Metazoa; Chordata; Hyperoartia; Petromyzontiformes; Petromyzontidae
Source: RefSeq, a predicted model, not a curated record